This is a long non-coding RNA of Telopea speciosissima, 145 nucleotides long. RefSeq lists it as uncharacterized. Lineage: Eukaryota; Viridiplantae; Streptophyta; Magnoliopsida; Proteales; Proteaceae. The transcript has 3 exons. The record is from RefSeq and is a predicted model, not a curated record.
UGGUUUUUAUAUAGAGUUUUUAUGAAGAAUUUUAAAAUCCCAGAUGGUUCAUAGCUUACCCUAAUGCCUAGAAAAGAUUUGAGUCUUGAUUUACCUCGUAUGAUACAUCACAUCUGCAACACGAACUGAGGAACCAUUUUCCAGU